UGCCUUCAUAUUGGCAUCGAUCAGAAGCACCUUCCUUAAUACGAAUAUAAUUCUGUGCAUGCUUGAGUAAUUCAGCAUAUGUUUGGAGGAGCGUUUUGUCCAAAGAAUAGGUGAACCUAGAACUGCAUAACCCUCUCUUCAUGAUCGAGAUGGUCGUGGACUCAUUGAGGUCAUGGACCUCCAAUGUGGCAGUGUUGAAAUGCGCCAUG
Molecule: long non-coding RNA, 209 nt
Filed under: Elaeis guineensis (African oil palm)
Lineage: Eukaryota; Viridiplantae; Streptophyta; Magnoliopsida; Arecales; Arecaceae
Description: long non-coding RNA (EGUI_LNC064334)
Source: RNAcentral